UACGGAGGGUGCAAGCGUUGUCCGGAUUUAUUAGGUUUAAAGGGUGCGUAGGUGGCCCGUUAAGUCCGGGGUGAAAGCCCACUGCUCAACAGUGGAACUGCCCUGGAUACUGACGGGCUUGAGUCCAGACGAGGUUGGCGGAAUGGAUGGUGUAGCGGUGAAAUGCAUAGAUACCAUCCAGAACCCCGAUUGCGUAGGCAGCUGACUAGGCUGGUACUGACACUGAGGCACGAAAGCGUGGGGAGCGAACAGG
Molecule: ribosomal RNA, 253 nt
Filed under: uncultured bacterium
Lineage: Bacteria
Description: partial 16S ribosomal RNA
Rfam family: Bacterial small subunit ribosomal RNA
Source: RNAcentral